UACCUGCUAUACGUCGCCAGUGUCAGCUGAACCAGCGAUUGACGACUUUAGACGCCUUUAGUUUUUUUUGUUUGUGUGCGCCGGGAUAAUUAACUGACUGCGCCAAUCAACUGGAGGACAACGAAGCGACUGUCGUCGCCACGUGCCUCCCUGCUAACCUACAAGGUGAAUCCCGUGCAACCAAGUGAAUGUGUCACUACUCCGGGGAACAACGCAACCACGUGACCGUGGCACUUCUCCGAGGGACAACGGAGCAACCGUCAUCGCUACGUUCGAUCUUCGGCAGUUAUAUUCACCAGGUGGGAUACUAGCUUGCGAGGGUGGCGCGGCCAUUAAAUCAACUAACUGGCAAUGUUAAUUGUUUUCUACUGAUUGGCAAGAGACGGCCGCUGCCACAUUGGGUCGUCGUCGUGACGGAAGCGGAGAGGACUGGGCGGGGCGAUUGUAGCUUUAGGCUUAGCUAACACUUGGAAGGGUAGCUCACGCUGCGCAGGCUCCAGCUGGCAGGGGUCCUCUCUCGUUUGCGACACGGACGUCGGCCCAUUCCGAGUGCUAUUGCUUCCCGGUCAUAUUUUGCGUGUCGGCGCGCGCGAAACGUGGAAGUAAUUUGCACCCGGAAUUAAUUAGUGUCAGGUUUCUUCCAGCAAAACAGAAGAAGAACGGACGUUGCCUACGGUCUGCAGCGCGGUGCGCUGCGGCGAAGACGGUGGUGGGUGGCCGCAUUUUCUUUUUUGUCUUCCGUAUGUUCUCGUCCCUACUGCUGUGUCACGCCGGGCUUUCGUCGCUCGACAAGCUAACCAUCGUGGACUAGUCCCAUCGCCAGCGCGAUGACGCUUGUCAUGGUGAGUACGUGCUUUCUGGUUACUUUCCUCAUUUAUCAAGUGCUCCCCGCAUUUUUUUACGUUUCAGAUCUGCAACCUGUGGCUUGGACCCUGGAACAUGUUCCUGCACCCGGCCGUGCCUCGCACAGAUGACGUUCAGCACCUGUCUGUCGUCUAGCAACUGAUUGUGUCUUCACUUCUGUUCCUGCCUCACUGCUAUUUGUGUCCUGGUGAAUGAAGAUUCCUGCCAUACACGCCCUGCAGAACGUCCAAUGCACUCCGCAUCCUUUGGUGCCAGACGCACGCGACGGAAUUUCCUGCAGCCGGCCGUGUCUCGCACAGAUGAUGUCCAGCACCUGUCGUCCCACGGCUGAUCGCGUCACUUCUGUUCCUGCCUUACUGCUAUUUGUGUCCUGCUGAAUGAAGAUGCCUGAAAUCCAUGCCCUGCAGAACGUCCAUUGCACUCCGCAUCCUUUGGUGCCAGACGCACGCGACGGAAUUUCCUGCAGCCGGCCGUGUUUCGCAGAUAUGUUCAGCACCUGUCGUCCCACGGCUGAUCGCGUCACUUCUGUUCCUGCCUCACUGCUAUUUGUGUCCUGCUGAAUGAAGAUGCCUGAAAUCCAUGCCCUGCAGAACGUCCAUUGCACUCCGCAUCCUUUGGUGCCAGACGCACGCGACGGAAUUUCCUGCAGCCGGCCGUGUCUCGCACAGAUGAUGUCCAGCACCUGUCUUACCACGGCUGAUCGCGUCACAUCUGUUCCUGCCUCACUGCUAUUGGUGUCCUGCUGAAUGAAGAGGCCUGCAAUCCAUGCCCUGCAGAACGUCCAUUGCACUCCACAUCCUUUGGUGCCAGACGCACGCGACGGACUUUCCUGCAGCCGGCCGUGUCUCGCACAGAUGAUGUCCAGCACCUGUCGUCCCACGGCUGAUCGCGUCACUUCUGUUCCUGCCUUACUGCUAUAUGUGUCCUGCUGAAUGAAGAUGCCUGCAAUCCAUGCCCUGCAGAACGUCCAUUACACUCUGCAACCCUUGUCUUGACAUCUGCCGCCCAUCAAGGUCUGCACCACCAGCGUAGUAGGCAAUGACACCAAGUGCAGACCGUAGGGAGGCAGGCGUUUCUCUCGCCACUCAUCGCAGUGCUGCUUCCGAAGUCGUCGUGCUGCAGGAAACGUUCUUCGCUGCCUCGACGAGGUCACACAACUAUGAAGUCCCAAGAAACAGUACGACGUCGCGUGACAUGAAUGCUCAUCUAACAUUACGGUUGGAGCUGUUCGUUCCGCCAUAUAGCAAUAUGACGGCCACUCUAUGAACUCGCAUGUUAUUCAGUGGCUGUGACCGUAUGACGUGAGUACCGAAAAAUCCCAGGUAACAAGCUGUUCUAGCUCUUCGUAGUGGUACACUGCUCCAAAUCUAGCAACUGGGUUGUUCUGGGGAUUCUUGCUUCUUACGCUCAUUGACAUUCUGUGCUUUUGUAAUGGUACACCGAUGCUGCUUUGCGUUGCCGAAUUGCGUGUGUGUGUGUGUGUGUGUGUGUGUGUGUGUGUGUGUGUGUGUGUGUGUGUGUGUGUGUGUGUGUGUGUGUGUCUGUGUGUGCGCGCGCAUUUGUGUGUGUGUGUGUGUGUGUGUG
This is a long non-coding RNA of Dermacentor silvarum, 2448 nucleotides long. RefSeq lists it as uncharacterized. The record is from RefSeq and is a predicted model, not a curated record. Lineage: Eukaryota; Metazoa; Arthropoda; Arachnida; Ixodida; Ixodidae. The transcript has 7 exons.